CCUACAGGCGGCUGCAGUGGGGAAUAUUGGACAAUGGGCGAAAGCCUGAUCCAGCCAUGCCGCGUGUGUGAAGAAGGCCUUCGGGUUGUACAGCACUUUCAGUGGGGAAGAAAGCCUUGGGGCUAAUACCCUCGAGGAAGGACAUCACCCACAGAAGAAGCACCGGCUAACUCCGUGCCAGCAGCCGCGGUAAUACGGAGGGUGCGAGCGUUAAUCGGAAUUACUGGGCGUAAAGCGCGCGUAGGCGGUCUGAUAAGCCGGUUGUGAAAGCCCCGGGCUCAACCUGGGAACGGCAUCCGGAACUGUCAGGCUAGAGUGCAGGAGAGGAAGGUAGAAUUCCCGGUGUAGCGGUGAAAUGCGUAGAGAUCGGGAGGAAUACCAGUGGCGAAGGCGGCCUUCUGGACUGACACUGACGCUGAGGUGCGAAAGCGUGGGUAGCAAACAGGAUUAGAUACCCGAGUAGUC
This 465-nucleotide ribosomal RNA is filed under the name Vreelandella stevensii. RNAcentral's name for it is "partial 16S ribosomal RNA". It matches the Rfam family "Bacterial small subunit ribosomal RNA", at positions 338 to 795 of the family's 1533-position model. The record is from RNAcentral. Lineage: Bacteria; Pseudomonadati; Pseudomonadota; Gammaproteobacteria; Oceanospirillales; Halomonadaceae.